This 617-nucleotide long non-coding RNA is filed under the name Heterocephalus glaber (naked mole-rat). RNAcentral's name for it is "lncRNA (ENSHGLG00000048478.1)". Lineage: Eukaryota; Metazoa; Chordata; Mammalia; Rodentia; Bathyergidae. The record is from RNAcentral.
CACCUUGCGUCCUAAAGGCGCAGCGCAGGGGCUGCGCCGGCCGCGGUUCCCCUGGCACCCGGGAGGGGGCGGCACCGGGGAGACGGGAGCCUCGCCGCGUCCCUCAGCCCUUCACCUCGGCGACCCCAGCGGUCCUAGGUCCUGAUGCCACCCCAAAGUGGGCUUUCGGAGACCCCUUCCCUGGUUCAGGAAGGAAAAGGCCGAGGAGGACCGGGACCCAGAGCGCCUGACAGUGUCUCUUCCCGACUGCGCCUCCCGCGCACUGAGUCCUUCGGAUCAAAGCAGUGCGUUGGUGCCAGCGGUACAGGCGACGCGCAGAAAGGGCCGGCCCUGUGAAUAGGAGAUCUUUGUUAUAAUACUGCUCGGCUCUUGUUAUGCAGCCCAACUGGCCUUGAAUGCAAGAUCCUCCUGCCUCAGCCUUCUGAGUACUGGGAUUACGGGCAUAUGGCACUCGCCUGGCAUGCUAAACUAUUAUAUAAUGUAGAAAGCAAUGACCACUCCAUGCCCUGUUACUCAUCUGAUGUUAAGAUAUUUAGUUCUUUGUUUCUACUUAUAUAUAUGCAGUGACUGAGUUCGUCAUAAAGCAUUAUCAGCAGAUAUAAAAUAUUUUGAUGGCA